This 498-nucleotide ribosomal RNA is filed under the name uncultured bacterium. RNAcentral describes it as "partial 16S ribosomal RNA". It matches the Rfam family "Bacterial small subunit ribosomal RNA", at positions 30 to 523 of the family's 1533-position model. The record is from RNAcentral.
AUUGAACGCUGGCGGCAUGCCUUACACAUGCAAGUCGAACGGUAACAGGUCUUCGGAUGCUGACGAGUGGCGAACGGGUGAGUAAUACAUCGGAACGUGCCUAGUAGUGGGGGAUAACUACUCGAAAGAGUGGCUAAUACCGCAUGAGAUCUACGGAUGAAAGCAGGGGAUCGCAAGACCUUGUGCUACUAGAGCGGCCGAUGGCAGAUUAGGUAGUUGGUGGGAUAAGAGCUUACCAAGCCGACGAUCUGUAGCUGGUCUGAGAGGACGAUCAGACACACUGGGACUGAGACGCGGCCCAGACGCCUACGGGAGGCAGCAGUGGGGAAUGUUGGAACAUGGGCGCAAGCCUGAUCCAGCAAUGCCGCGUGCAGGAUGAAGGCUGUCGGGGUGUAAACUGCUUUUGUACGGAACGAAAAGCCCUGGGUUAAUACCCUGGGGUGAUGACGGUACCGUAAGAAUAAGCACCGGCUAACUACGUGCCAGCAGCCGCGGUAA